AGUAAUCUUGCUGUCUCUAUUUCAAAAAACAUACUAUUUUAUACUUUUGUUUUUAUUUUAAUAGAUGUAAAUUGGUAAUAUUGGUGGAGGACCAAGAAAGAGCAUUUUCAAGCACCUUCCAUGUGAGAGACUGCUGGAGAGAACUGAUUUACUGAGACAACAUGGCAUUUAAGCUGAAAAAAGAGGAGGAUGUGGAGUCAUUGCAAGAAGGAGCGACAAAACAACUGAUAGGUUAAGUACAGAACAAUUAUACCAAAGAAGUUCUCACACUGUUAAGAAAGUUCUAGGACUCACACCAGAUUUCCCAACCUGGGGAUCUGGCAAAGAGACUG
This 332-nucleotide long non-coding RNA is filed under the name Bos indicus x Bos taurus (hybrid cattle). RNAcentral describes it as "lncRNA (ENSBIXG00000016099.1)". The record is from RNAcentral. Lineage: Eukaryota; Metazoa; Chordata; Mammalia; Artiodactyla; Bovidae.